GACAGAGGGUGCAAACGUUGUUCGGAAUUACUGGGCGUAAAGCGAGUGUAGGCGGUCUGCUAAGUCGGGUGUGAAAGUCCAGGGCUCAACCCUGGGAUGCCGGUGGAUACUGUCGGGCUCGAGUCCGGAAGAGGCGAGUGGAAUUCCUGGUGUAGCGGUGAAAUGCGCAGAUAUCAGGAGGAACACCAAUGGCGAAGGCAGCUCGCUGGGACGUGACUGACGCUGAGACGCGAAAGCGUGGGGAGCAAACAGG
Molecule: ribosomal RNA, 253 nt
Filed under: uncultured bacterium
Lineage: Bacteria
Description: partial 16S ribosomal RNA
Rfam family: Bacterial small subunit ribosomal RNA
Source: RNAcentral